GUCUCUGAAGCUCUUAGCUAAGUAUUACGGGCCAUUUGAAAUUCUAGAGAAGGUUGGAACAGUAGCUUAUAAACUCAAUCUGCCACCAGGAAGUAGAAUACACUAUCUUUCAUGUCUCCUUGUUAAAGAAGAAAAUUGGAGACAAUGUAGUUCGCAUGAAAGAUCUGCCAACAUUUCAGGAAGAAGACUAUUUCAUUCAGC
RNAcentral lists this unclassified non-coding RNA (201 nucleotides) under Hevea brasiliensis (rubber tree). Lineage: Eukaryota; Viridiplantae; Streptophyta; Magnoliopsida; Malpighiales; Euphorbiaceae. The record is from RNAcentral.